RNAcentral lists this ribosomal RNA (492 nucleotides) under uncultured bacterium. Its description in RNAcentral is "partial 16S ribosomal RNA". It matches the Rfam family "Bacterial small subunit ribosomal RNA", at positions 29 to 507 of the family's 1533-position model. The record is from RNAcentral.
AGUGAACGCUGGCGGUAGGCCUAACACAUGCAAGUCGAACGGCAGCACAGUAAGAGCUUGCUCUUACGGGUGGCGAGUGGCGGACGGGUGAGGAAUACAUCGGAAUCUACUUUUUCGUGGGGGAUAACGUAGGGAAACUUACGCUAAUACCGCAUACGACCUACGGGUGAAAGCAGGGGAUCUUCGGACCUUGCGCGAUUGAAUGAGCCGAUGUCGGAUUAGCUAGUUGGCGGGGUAAAGGCCCACCAAGGCGACGAUCCGUAGCUGGUCUGAGAGGAUGAUCAGCAACACUGGAAAUGAGACACGGUCCAGACGCCGACGGGAGGCAGCAGUGGGGAAUAUUGGACAAUGGGCGCAAGCCUGAUCCAGCCAUACCGCGUGGGUGAAGAAGGCCUUCGGGUUGUAAAGCCCUUUUGUUGGGAAAGAAAAGCAGCAGGUUAAUACCCCGCUGUUCUGACGGUACCCAAAGAAUAAGCACCGGCUAACUUCGUG